This 3148-nucleotide long non-coding RNA is filed under the name Zea mays. Its description in RNAcentral is "long non-coding RNA (ZMAY_LNC001486)". Lineage: Eukaryota; Viridiplantae; Streptophyta; Magnoliopsida; Poales; Poaceae. The record is from RNAcentral.
UCAAAGUAAAUAGCAGAAAAGUACUUUAUUACAACAAGAUGUCCAAGACAUCCACUGAGUCUAAUACAUAACCAUAGUCUUCAAUAUUAAUAUCAAAGUGCGGAAAUACGAAACGUAGUAGAUAAGCCUACACAUGCAGCUGACUGGGGGUUUGCCACUAAGAUAAACUAGAACUCAUUGUAGUCCUGGAACUCCUCAAAGUCCUCCAUUGUAACACCCCGGGCUUUAAGGGACAAAGCCGGGUGCAUCUCAUACAUGCGCCAAAGAAGACAACAUAUAUAAUAACAGAGUGUAUAGAGAUAAAUGUCUCAAUAUAAUCAGAGUACUUAUCACAUAGUGGGAGUCUUACAAAAUAAAAGAUGAAUAUAGCAGGAUCUAAAAUCUAUCCUUGGCGCCAGAAAGUCAACUGGGAGACGCCACCUAUAUCGAAUCGAACUCCUCAUUAAGCGACUCCUCCUGAACCACCUGUUCUUCUCCUGUGGGGGGAGGGUGUGAGACAGCAAGGGUGAGCUCACAUACGUUCAUAGCUCAACAAGCUGUGCAGAAUAAUGUGGCAUGAACUCACCAAAGGUGGGAGUUCAUGUGAUGUGUAAAGCUGAUCAACAAUAGGGGUUAAAGCUGAGCAUUGCUUUUAAUAAGUUGGUCAAAUUUUAUUAGCAAUUACUAAAUGUAAUUAAAUACCAAACCAUAAUAAAUAAUAGAACAAAAUUAAUAAAUAAUCCCAUGCAAAUGCAAAUGACAAAUUGAGUUUUAAUUCCAUAGAUUAAUCAUGUGAGGGUCCGAGCCGCUCAUGACCGUGAGCAUAGCUAGUAUACCAAUUUUAUACUCUGCAGAGGUUGCGCAUCUUUACCCACAAGUCAUGUUACCCAUCUGCCAAGGGGUCAUGAAUCCCAUACACCUCUACCAAGGAGGCGAGGCAGGGUAAGACUAUGAGGCCUUUACAAAGUUCCACUAGCUUCAGAAAACCCGCUACAGAUUAUAGGAAGCUUCAGUGCAGGAAUCCCUCGCCUGACCGCCAUCGCAGCAUAAUCAACCCAAGGAACUCCCUACACUAACCACUCCCCUACUGCCCUUGCCCUUUCGGGUAAGGUAGUCAUCCACUAGCUUUCCUAAUUAAUCAGCCAAGGACGUCCCAUUAAACCCUUGUGGUAGCACUGUUUUCCCGGGUGGUCGCUCCAUGUUCCAAAUAACAUAAUGAUCUUUUCAUGAACAUAAAUAACAUAACAGAAUAAUUGGAACAUGGAUGUAAUGAAAUAUUAUCCCGAAACCACAUAAUGCAAUAGCAUAACUACCCAAGUGAAUCAGAGGUAAACAAGGUAAACAUGAUAAAAGACUAGGGUGACCUAUUAGGUCCCAUCAAAAUUAAACCUAUGCAUGAAUAAGUGAUAAUAAAGAACAUUAUUGGGUAACAAAAGUGGAUCAAGGGCACAACUUGUCUGGCACUUGAGAUUCCAGUUACCAGGGUGAUUCUUCAGAUCCUCGAAACCUCGCGCUAGUCGUAGCAAUACAAACAAACAUGGUAUAGAUAAAAUUAACAUCACACCAAACAUAAGUACAAACUAAAUCAUAACAAUCUACGCGUCGCUACGAGAUCGCGGGCUCGAGAACUACUACGAUCGGAGUUACUGGUAAGGAGUUAUGAUUUUAUAGAGGAUUUAUGUGAUUAAAAUGUUAAACUAUAUCAUAAAUUGGUUAAUAUAAAUCAUAUAAGAGGUUAUUCUAUGAAUAAUUAUCUCAACUUUAAUCUAAGUUAUAAAUUAACCAUAGAUCAUAUUCCAGUAGUUUAUAAGCAGUUUAACCAGACUAACCAACAUCAGUUAAAUACAGAUAUGAUUAUAAAAUAAUGAUACAUGGUAUAAUAAAUGUUGUUAUUUCAUAGUAAAUAUUUAUACGAGACUAACACAACUGGAACGAGUCAAUUCGGAAUCAAAAUGAAAGAGUUAUGGUUUUCUAAAGGUUUUAAGUAUUCGAUACAAGAUUAAUUAAGAGAUAUAUUUUAAUAUGGUUUUCAUGUCAAAGCAGAGACACUAUGUGAUAAACAACAUUAUUAUAAAAUUAUAGGAACUGGAAUGAAUAAAUUUGGACCAAGUAUGCAUUUUCUAUGAAUUAAACACAUUCUAGUAUUUAUUUUCACAUAAAAAUCAUUUUCUAAUCAUUUUUACUGAAUUUCUAAUUUUCUGGACUGGGCGUCAAAUACUAGAAAAGGUAGGGUCUCUGGCGCAAGAAUCCGCAAGACUCAAAGCACAUCCGCGGGUUGAUUUGAUAAAAGGACAGGGGCUAUUUUAUAAAGCUAGCCAGCUGAAUGGGUAUGGUGAGUUCUAGGCCGCUGGAUUCAAAUCGUGCGAACAGGAUUAGAUCUACUCACUUAAUGAAUCGGUACGUAGUGUGGUUCCUCGGAUCCAGAUCCGACGGUGCUCAUCACCCCAUCACCCGAUUUGUCCGAUCAACCGCCAACGCUCUAGAUCAACCCAGUGAACUGGUACGCUAAGAUCCGAUCCAGACCGCACGUUCCCAAUCCGACGCCCAGGCUCUUUUACCCUAACCCGACAGCGCCCCGGCGACGGAGCUCAGCUCCCCGCGGUGGCCGGUUCGCCGGCGAGCACGAAAUAUGGUUCCAAACCGCCCCAUCUAGAAAUUGAUCACUACUACACUGAGAGGGGAAGAUGGCGAAACUGCAGAGAGGGGUCUCACCGGCGAUUGAAGAGGUUGCGAGCCUGCCCACGGAGGAGAGCGGAUCCGCGGCUGCGCUUGUACUCCGGCGAGGAAUUCAACCGCAACCGGAUAUCACUAGCGUGAUUGCUUCCAUCCCCAGCUUCGCCAACCUCCAGUGAGCCCCCCCCCGAGGUACGGUUCAGGGGCAGAGUCGCCCCUAAUCUCAAUCCUCGCAGCGGCGGCGGGGACUUAUGUUUUUCUUUUCACGACGUCUAUGGAGGUCGGGUCUGGGCGCUGGUCUUUGCACGCUGGAGAAGGUAAGAAGGAAAGGAAAGAAUGCGGCGCAACAUAUAGGAUCGUGGCUGACGAGGUCACGCCAUGCGCUGCGGGGUUCACGGCGUACUUCCGCCAUGGCCGGUAUUACGUUGAGGCGAAGUCGCAGCUCGAUUGAGGCGACAGACAAAUGGGUCCGACCAGCAGUCCGUGCGUGUGGGGC